Molecule: non-coding RNA, 1305 nt
Organism: Doryrhamphus excisus (bluestripe pipefish)
Lineage: Eukaryota; Metazoa; Chordata; Actinopteri; Syngnathiformes; Syngnathidae
Source: RefSeq, a predicted model, not a curated record
UGUCAGUAAACGCACCACAGUGCGGGCCGUUUUUUCGGUUGAACAAUUCAUAAAUCUCUGAGCCUUAUUGCGCCUCAUACAUCAUAUCACCAGGUUGAUGCUGUGCGUGAAUGCAUAAAGUUGAGUCAACAAGAAGCGACUUGAUUAACCCUUUAAAAGAAGACCAUAGCGUGAUGUCACCAUGAUGUCCGCCAGCCAGUGCUCCCAUUGCAGUCGGUCUGCUGGUGCCAUGUGUUCUGCAGAGACCAGAAGGAGGAGGAUUGCAUCUUCACUGGCUUUUAGAAGGAAGAGACAGCCACUCAUCGGUGGAAACUCGGAAUGGCCGUUUGUACCUUUGAUCUGGUCCUUUUGGUCCCAAAGCUCAUGACCACAGGUGAGGGUACACCCUAUAGGACCAUACAGUAGAUGGACAGGUCAAGCUUGGAGAUUAAGCUUGUGGAGCUUUGCCCAUCACCGUCGAUGCUGGACCAAUCCACCUGUCAAUCUCACCUUCAACUCCUCCGCUGGGGGCAGGAUCCACCCUUUUCCGGCCCAGAACUUGGACAUGCACGGGAGGGGGGCUGAUUCUCACCCCAGCGGGCACCUCAUCAUCAGGCCCAGUCCUGCAGCCACCAAACCAGAUCCCCUCCCCGGAUUUUGUCUUUCAUAUUUCAACUCUGUGCUACUAAAGUGACAUCCUUCAUCAUCAUAUUAUUUACAGUUUAUUCUUGUAAAAUUGGAUCUUUUUCUGGUUAAAAUAUGACUUUUUUCUCUUAAAUAUUUGAACUUGAUAAAAUUGCUGAUGAUUUUUCAAAUUUCUUCUGCUUUUUUCUUCAAAUUGCCCAAAAAUGACAACUUUAUUUGUUGGGUUGUUCCUUUUUCAUUUAUGCAACUUUGAAAAUAAUAUAUAAUUUUUAAAAUAUUUUUCCCGUUAAUUUUUUAACUGUCUGCUACUAAAAUUACACUUUUAUUUCCUCAUAACAUUAUGUUUGUUUAAACAAUUUAAAUAUAAAAUAUUUGAGUAUUAGGUGUAGUAUAAUUGACAGUCUUCUGAUUGAUUGGGGUCAUAUUUAAAAGUCACCUGUUGAUUUGGCUUUGCAGUUUGAUUUUUUUUAACUUAACGUAUUUUUCCAAUGUGGACGGAAAUGAAUUAGAACCAAUGGAAUCAUUUAUUUCUUGAUUUUUGAGUGUUACACCGACAGAGAAAAGGAAAUGGGAGCAAAGCAUCCAUGCAUCCUCACUCUAGUCGAUGUCACAAUAAAUAGAUAUGAAAUAUACUGGACACGUUCCAACCACUUUGACUGUGACGGCGCAUAUGAAUAAGAA